This is a non-coding RNA of Acanthosepion pharaonis, 101 nucleotides long. The record is from the annotation of a GenBank genome assembly. NCBI's taxonomy places the organism in Eukaryota, Metazoa, Mollusca, Cephalopoda, Sepiida, Sepiidae.
UCGUUGAAAUCAUCGGUUCUCGUUCGAUCACCGAAGUUAACCAGCUUCAAGCCUGGCCAGUACUUAGAUGGGGGACAGUUUGGGAACAACAAGUUCUGUAA